CUACGGGCCGCAGCAGUGAGGAAUAUUGCACAAUGGGGGAAACCCUGAUGCAGCAACGCCGCGUGGAGGAUGACGCAUUUCGGUGUGUAAACUCCUUUUAUCAGAGAAGAAAAUGACGGUAUCUGGUGAAUAAGCUCCGGCUAACUCCGUGCCAGCAGCCGCGGUAAUACGGAGGGAGCAAGCGUUAUUCGGAAUCACUGGGCGUAAAGGACGCGUAGGCGGGUUUUUAAGUCAGGUGUGAAAUCCUAUGGCUCAACCAUAGAACUGCACUUGAAACUGGGGACCUAGAGUAUGGAAGGGGCAGGUGGAAUUAGUGGUGUAGGGGUAAAAUCCGUAGAUAUCACUAGGAAUACCGAAAGCGAAGGCGACCUGCUGGGACAUUACUGACGCUGAGGCGUGAAAGCGUGGGGAGCAAACAGGAUUAGAUACCCUUGUAGUC
This 439-nucleotide ribosomal RNA is filed under the name uncultured bacterium. RNAcentral describes it as "partial 16S ribosomal RNA". It matches the Rfam family "Bacterial small subunit ribosomal RNA", at positions 339 to 795 of the family's 1533-position model. The record is from RNAcentral.